Long non-coding RNA from Brassica rapa (field mustard), 4167 nucleotides. RefSeq lists it as uncharacterized. Lineage: Eukaryota; Viridiplantae; Streptophyta; Magnoliopsida; Brassicales; Brassicaceae. The record is from RefSeq and is a predicted model, not a curated record.
ACCAGAUCUAUCAAGUGUGCUAGCAUCUUCUGUUUAUCGCCAUGUUCUGACUUUUCACCAAAUCUCCUCCAUUUCUUGGAGCCUCACGAUCCGAGACCCGGCAUAUCAACCCUUCCCUCCUCAAUUCAUGUCUUCUUCUCUAAAUUCGCUACUGGUCUCCCAUCCCCCUACUCUGGCGACCUGCUAGUGGAGUUCUGAAGCCACUUUGCCAUCCAAUCGUAACACUCCCAAUUUCCUCAUUCCCUCCUGACGAUCUCAACUAUGCCGGUGAUGUUAACAAUAUAAGUAGGCCAAAAGGUUAAUAUAGUGGGUUUUGCCAUUAGUUCUGCCCAUAAAUUUGUAGGCCAGCAAAUUUCAUGUAAAAAAUGCUCAAUCUUGGCGUCAGUCCCUACAUCAUUAUUGGUGUUUCUGGGGCACUUGACCCAGUUUUUUUUGGGCGUUGGGUAUGCUAAUUUUAGCAAGUUUCUCUUAUUAGGAGAAAUCAUUACACAACCCUUUAAACUUGUCCUUGUUGGAUAAAUUUAGUCAAAUUUCCUCUCGGUAGACUCAAGAGGUAUGCUUCUCCACUUCCUCUUUUUCAAAAGAGAAAUAUUUCACCAAAAUUCUUCUUUGAAAGAGGUGACCUCUUUCAUUAUUCAGUCUAAAUUAUUUGUUUCUUAACGGCUUGUUAUCUUAGGUGAAGGUCCACUUGAGGUCAGUAGAUGCAAUGAUUCUCAUUGAGGUGAGAAUCGAAGUUGUAGAUGGUGUUGUGACAUCACAGGUUAUAGUGAUCUGUUAUUUGAAAAACUUGAAGUGUGGUUUAAGUAUUUUAUAGAUUUGAUCGCCGGUGACAACUUUAAAAUCUUGCAUGGAAUUUUAUCAAAUUUCCAUAAGUUUGUGUCUAUAUCCUUGUUUAUAGUUGAUUUAUUUGUCUGGGAUUUAGUCUUUAUGCUUACACAUCGUGUUUUGUACGAUUGUUUACCAUUCUUGUAGUUGUUUAAAUCUAUUAUUGAAGAUUUUGUGUACAAAAAGGUUACUGAAUAACCAUAAAAUGAGUAAAAUUAAAGUAAUAAGUUAGUGGGAUAGACCAAGAUACUGAUAGAUGAGUUGGAUCAAUGUAGAUUUCGACGGAAAUCUGAAUAGUAAAUUUGUUUUACUAAUCCAUACAUCAAUAAAUAAUCGUGAUUUCUAUUUUAUCAUGUAACAAAUAGUUAACAGUUUAGUUUAAUGUUAAAUUGGUAGAACUAUCAAUAUUUCAUUAGCAAAAUUAAUUUUCUUAAGUAUAUUUUUGAUGUAAAACGAAAAAUACAAUAAAUUUGAAAAUAAAUUAUACUGGAUAAUCAUUUGAUUUUCAUGAUGCUUUUAGCUUUCAUGUAAUUGUAAUAGUAGGUCUUUCAAAAGUUCUGUUUGUUUUUUUGUUGAACAUCUAGUGUGUGAGAAAAAAUUUAUGUUCCUAAAUGUAUUCAAAAUCUUAACUCAAAAAAUGUGGAAACGAUGUACUCUCACAUGGUUUUUGUUUUGGUCAACGUGAAUAUGUAUUAAAAUCAGAAUGUAGACAUAUGAAGGCCUCGCAUGACAUUCAACUACAAGGCAAUAAAUUCUUGAACAACAUAUAUUUACAUAGGUCAUAUACCAAACACUUUGACCGCAAAGAACACCAACAACUAAAAACCAAGACCAAGACCAAGAGAAUGGUCAUAUACCAAAAACCCUAAUCGUAAAGACCACCAACGACUAAAGAUCAAAACCAAGAAAAUGGUCAUAUACCAAAACCCAUACUGAAAACAACCAAAUCCAACAACAGAAUCACAAAGAUUACAUAUAAUCAAAAAUCACAAUCGUUAACUAGAAAGAGGCCAUAUAUUUCUCACCGACAAACGGUUCGUGCAGCCAAACUAGGUGACCAGCUGCAACAUAAGAUUGCAUGAAAGCCUCACAUCUCACACUUUGUGCAAUGCGAAAAACACCUAUGUUUGCCAAAGGUCUCUCCACCACAAACUUCAUCUCCUGCUUCUGAGGCAAAAGAUGUCUUAAAGUUUUGUUCUUCCACCAAUGGCGUUUGCUGGGUCGGUUUAUUGCUUCCACCAGAGCUACAUCUAAAAAAUAUAAAACCACCUUACUCAUUCUAUGCGCUUGCUUACUUUCAACAUCCCAAUGAAGAACUUUUAGUUUAGACAUGUCCUCAUUCCAAACCAGAGAGAAAGGUACUCUACUAUGUAUUAGAAAAAAACCUAUCAUUUCUUAAAAUCUUAGCCACACCCACUUUGUUUUUCUUCUUCAUCCCAAUGAAACUGAUUUUGCAUUUUACCCAUUCUUUGGGAGGGAAAUUCUAACCUCUCUUCCUUUCUUUUUCUACCUUCCUAUGUUCUUCCUACAUAUUCAACUCACAAGUUUGAGCAAAAAAAUCAUUAUCUGCUUCCUCUGAGUUUUUUUUAGACUGUGAGCGGACUCAAAACAGACACACUUUCAAAAAUAAAUGUGUUCUUAUCUUUCCAAAUAUUCCAAAGAAUCCAAAGCGCUAUUUGUUUUUGAGCCAAGCAAUAUCUUGAUAGUUUUCAUUUCUCAACAUUGCAUUGAUAUUAGAGAAAAUAGAAAACUCAACAAAACCAUUUACUUGUAGAGGAAUUUAAAAUGAGCCCACACUUGUCUUGCAAAAUGACACUUGAAGAGUACAUAGUUUAUUGUUUAUAUAUCUGCACCACAAAUUGGGCAUAUCUCCUCUGAUUUCAUACCUUAGUUUUUUGAAGAAAUCUUCCACGGGCAAUGCAUACAAACCUUCUAAUCUUCAGCUCUGUUUUUAGCUUCCACACCUGUUCUUUUAAUUAGUUAAGUGAUGGUAAGGCUUCAGCUUUUGUUUGUAUAUCUCAUUUGUCUCUUUGAGUUGCUAGCAUAUAAAUUUGUUGGAUUUUCAUGAUCUAAGCAACAUCACCUGGUAAAACAAAUCAACUCCUUAAUCUUCUCCAUGAUCAUGUUUCCACGUCAAUAAUAUCAGUCACCAUCAAAUUGACAUCAAAGUUAUAGUUCUUCCUCCAAGGAGGUCUUCUAACCCUUUCAUCGUCUUCCAUCUAAAGAUCAAUCCAUAGUUUCAAAGAUGAAUUAUUCCCAAUUCCAGGUUGAAUCCCCUCCUUCAUUAACUCUCUUCCAUUCAAAACACUCCUACAUGCAAAUGCUGGUAUUUCACCUAUUAUAGCUUGCAAGAAAUCACCUUCAGGAAAAUAGCAACUCUUCACAAGUCUAACAAAGAGAGAGUCAGGAUGGUAAGGAUUCUUCAAGCUUGCUUUGCUAGCACAUGGUUGAAAAGCUCCAAAUCUCUAAACCCCAAGCCUCCAAGAUGUUUAGGUAGACAUAAUAACCCAAUUCAUUUUGGGAGACUGAUAUGAGGAGUUCCACUUAAAUCGGGUAAUUUAUGAAGUUUAAUUUUGGCAUGUGUUUCUCGAAAACUUAAAGCAGAAAAUUACAUAUAUAGGCAUUGCAAGUGCCACUGACUUGAUCAUAAUUUCUUUCCUUUAAGAUAGGACAUUUGCAAACCAACCACAUAUCCUUCAUUAUUUUUUAUGUACUUCAAAAGCUCCACAUAUGACCCACCGAGACAUUCUCGUAUUCGGUAAGUACUUGCUCCUCUUUCAGCAUAGAUACCAAAGAUACCUUUGGUUUUUCUUUUAAUCACUGAGUCAACUUUCUCACCAUAAGUGAUGAAAGAUUUAAGCACAUUAAUGGUUUGACCAGGGAGAUUUCCAUAUUCUUUUAAAAUAUUUCAUAGGUACUUUGAUUUUCACAUAGGAAGAGACUGCCGCCAGCAAAGAGAAAGUUGGAAACCAAGUGCCCUUAGUCACCAAACCUGAUUCAUGUGAUCUUUUCUUCAUAUUCAACUUUAGACAUCAAGUGAAGCAAUCCUUCUGUACAAAUAAUGAAAAAAAAGGGUGAUGUGGGUCACCAUGUCUCAAUCCUUAGUGAGAUACAAUCAUUCCAUGCGGUCGAUCAUUAAUCAAAACUGAAUAAGUGAAUGGAGACUGGAGACACACAGCUCAUUACACUGUCAACCCAUUUGACAUCAAAACUAAUUGUUAGUAUCAUCGAUCUUAAAUACGUCAUAAGAGUAUCAUUAGUGGUGUAAUCUCUCUCUUUAGUAUCUAGUGAAUUUAAUAUCUGUAUUAUUUUGGUAUGUAUUUAAAUUUAAAUAAAAAUAAA